Chelonoidis abingdonii (Abingdon island giant tortoise) is the source of this 95-nucleotide microRNA precursor. Lineage: Eukaryota; Metazoa; Chordata; Testudines; Testudinidae. The record is from Ensembl.
AGGGGCUGCACCCUGCUCUGGCUGGUCAAACGGAACCAAGUCCGUCUUCCUUGGAGGUUUGGUCCCCUUCAACCAGCUACAGCAGUGCUGAAAUC